AUUAAGGGUUACAGUAGUAACGUGUGAGCCUGCCUCUAUACAGAAGAAAAAAAUUGUAACUGGAAAAUAUCUCCUCUAUUUAGAAUGUCAUGGAACAAAUUUUAUGUGACUCAAGCAUCUCUGAUGGUUUUAAGCAGCACUGCAAACACUUUGAGUACAAAGUGGGCUGACCAUUUACAUGCUGAAAGCU
Bemisia tabaci is the source of this 190-nucleotide non-coding RNA. The record is from RefSeq and is a predicted model, not a curated record. NCBI's taxonomy places the organism in Eukaryota, Metazoa, Arthropoda, Insecta, Hemiptera, Aleyrodidae.